AGCCUGUUUCUGCCUAUCACCAUGAGUGAUUCCUCAAUACUCAGAUUUAUCAUCAAGAUCUCAAUUAUAAGCUCAAGUUUUGAUGACAACUUGGUGAUCUGCAGAAAGCCCCACCAUGUAAGGAAGGCCAAGACCACUCUGGAAUCAGUCAAGGGUGAAAUGGAGUGAGGCAUACCAGGAUAUGCCUGGUUUUACUUUUGGGAAGGAGGUUGAACAGUGCAAUAUUUCUUCUAUAGGAUUGCAGUGACCAGACAUGCUACUGUAACUCUCAUGGUCAUGUGCUGGAAUUAGCAGAUAUUCAACAAUUUGGCCAUCUCGCUGACCUGUUGAUAUCAGAAGACCGCAACAGCUCUACAAAGCAAGUUGCAAAACAGAAUCCAUGAAACUGGCAGUGACUGGAAACCAAUUGGAAGACUUUGGUCUGUGAUGUAGAGGAGUGGGCAGAGGCAGAAGCAAAGACAACAAAAAACAGAAGUGAUAUGGAUGUCUUUGUCAUAUUGCAUGACUCUGCUGACCCAGCAACAAAGAGGAGGGUGUUCAACAUCAUCCUGCUGGUCAGGAUUCUUCAGGAGAAGCAGUGGAUUCUUGUGGCAGAGAUGUUCAACCACUAUAAAUACCUUUCAACUCAUCCUGGUUCUUUCAAAGAACUUUCUUGCUUGUUUGCUACUGAAAUAUUCGACAUGUGCCCUUAACGAAGAGGGGUUAAAAGGUCUAUGGAUCAUCAUUCUCAAAAAGCAACAAAAUAACUGAGAAAUAAACAACAAUACGAUGGUGCAAUCUAGAGACCUGCAAGGUACCUGCAAGUUUUGGCUGGAGCAGAGAACAU
This 826-nucleotide long non-coding RNA is filed under the name Danio rerio (zebrafish). RNAcentral's name for it is "lncRNA si:ch211-222m2.1 (ENSDARG00000091887.3)". Lineage: Eukaryota; Metazoa; Chordata; Actinopteri; Cypriniformes; Danionidae. The record is from RNAcentral.